GAUGAACGCCGGCGGUGUGCCUAAUACAUGCAAGUCGUACGCACUGGCCCAACUGAUUGAUGGUGCUUGCACCUGAUUGACGAUGGAUCACCAGUGAGUGGCGGACGGGUGAGUAACACGUAGGUAACCUGCCCCGGAGCGGGGGAUAACAUUUGGAAACAGAUGCUAAUACCGCAUAACAACAAAAGCCACAUGGCUUUUGUUUGAAAGAUGGCUUUGGCUAUCACUCUGGGAUGGACCUGCGGUGCAUUAGCUAGUUGGUGGGGCAACGGCCUACCAAGGCGACGAUCAGUAGCCGGUCUGAGAGGAUGAACGGCCANAUUGGAACUGAGACACGGUCCAGACUCCUACGGGAGGCAGCAGUGGGGAAUCUUCCGCAAUGGCGAAAGCCUGACGGAGCAACGCCGCGUGAGUGAAGAAGGUCUUCGGAUCGUAAAGCUCUGUUGUCGGGGACGAAUGUUGAGACUUAGAACAUAAGUUUCAAA
RNAcentral lists this ribosomal RNA (485 nucleotides) under uncultured bacterium. Its description in RNAcentral is "bacterial SSU rRNA". It matches the Rfam family "Bacterial small subunit ribosomal RNA", at positions 28 to 469 of the family's 1533-position model. The record is from RNAcentral.